This 6268-nucleotide long non-coding RNA is filed under the name Elaeis guineensis (African oil palm). Its description in RNAcentral is "long non-coding RNA (EGUI_LNC047484)". The record is from RNAcentral. Lineage: Eukaryota; Viridiplantae; Streptophyta; Magnoliopsida; Arecales; Arecaceae.
AUGGGUAUAAAUAUCCCUCCGAUCUGAGAUUAUCAUGAUGACUUGCAAGCAAUUCACGGUACUUUGGUGCUGGACUAUCUGAAUUUCUAAUUAGAUCGAAAAGUUUUUGAGCACAGUCAAGUACUUAUAAAGUCGGUUCGUGAGUCAAGAUGGGAUUGACUACUCCAAGAAAUUAGAAAGAGUACUUUGUGUUUCAAUUUAGUAAGACCUUGAUCAGAACAAUCCUUGUGAGAAGUCAUAUUAUUUAUUAGAUUGAGACACAUAAUAGAUAUACUAUUAAGGGUUAACAAUUUAAACUAUAAGUUAUCCUGAGCAUCAAGGGUCAAAGGGAUGAAUUAUACGGUAACCAUAUACCAAUAGGUUCUGAGUAUUGCUUUCUUGCAUACAUUCGGCUUAUCCAGACGUCAGAUACCAUUACUAGAUGGUUAUUUCAAUUGGUACAAAAAUUUGUUUCUGUGCUACCGGCUUAGGUUCGAACUUAUGGAGUCACACACAUUAAAAGUUCCUCUCUGAUCAAUUGACAGAUCGAUGAUUGAGAAUCAUUCAAGGAUAAAAUCAUCGAUACGAUUGAUGAUUAACCUUGUGCAAUAGUUGCAAUAACAUUAUUCGCUAAGUGUUAGUGAAAUUUGAGAGAAUUAAUUAGCAAUUAGAUUGCUAAUUAGCUCAAUAUGAUGGAGCAUUAAAAGUCUAGAUCAAGUAUAAUUGAAUUAAAUUCAAUUAGGUCAAACCCGAUUGGUUAUGAGAUGAUCUAAUCGCUAAGGAAGAAUUAAUCUUAAUUUGAUCAAGAUUAUGUCUCAGUUAAUUUUCUAAUUUGAUCAUGAUUAAUUGAGAUUAUAGAAGCCUAAUUGGAUUAGGUUCAUCAUGAUUUAUUUGGGUUUAAAUGUAUUGGGUUUGGAUGAAACCUAAUUAAGAACUUAAUUGGCUAAACCUUAGAGUCUAAUGUGACUGGACUUUCUCCCUUGCGCCUUCCCUUCUCUCCAUGCCUUAUUUCAUCAUACAAAUUGGUUUGUGCGCUGAAUAUUUCAUGCCAAAUCCCUUUAGUUAUCGCCCUUUUGGGAUUGGUAGAGUUGGUUUUAUUCAAAGUUUUGAAUUUGAUUCAAACUCAAAGUCCUUAUCCCUAUUAAACUCCCACCUGUCGGUUCCUUAUGAAGAACUUAUGAUUUAUGCGAUAAAAAGGAGUUGCUCUUAUUUUUUUUCAUGCCAUUUACCUCUGGUCAACCUCUCUUUUAUCUAAUAUAGGAUGGGGAUAAGCAGUGAUUAGUUUGAAUUCAAAACAAAUUUGAAUUUAAACUUAAAUGUAUCCUUAUCUUAUCCUACUCCCUUGGUUUGGCAAUCAUUAAAAGAGAUGUUUUUUACUGUGCGCCAACCCAAGUGAAGAAUACCACCAUAAGAAAUCAGAUAGAGAGGGAUUGAAUAUCCUUGUGGGGCAUGAGAUUUGGGAUGGUUUUCUAUCAGCAUUGGAGGAGAUCAAUCUUCUCUUGGGUGAGAGAUCUAGAAUCAUUCUAAGAUUUCUGGAUGAGAGAAAAAUUGAAAAGAAGAGAGUAUUCAUCUGAUUUUCCUCCACCAUCCAGCAACCUCCGUUGAUCCAUCUUCUAUAUCAAAAGGGUUCAAGUUGAUCAAAGAAGAAAAUCAAAUCAGAUCUACCAUUAAAAGCCGUUUAUGCAAGCUAGCACUCCCGCAGAAGGUUGAUCCGUUCGAGAACUUCGUGUGAACAAUCCGUAGAGCCCAGACACCUUGUGCUACUACGAGCGACCAAUAGAAUCUCUGAUCCAUGAGUUGCAGUUGCAGUGCUCAUCUACCCAUGCUCUGGUAUAGGGUUCGGAACCCUAGUAGCUGUAGAUAUAAUCCACAGCAUGUGCAAAUUUUUAAAUAUGCGUGCAGAUUUUAUGUUCAAAUUUUAUUCAUGCAAUAUGUAUCAUGUUAUACAUUCUAGAAUAGGUGAUUUAGAUUUGAUCUAAAGCAUAUAUUUAGAUUAAAUUGUUUAAGCUUCUAUGAUCCGCUGUGAAAAAUUUUCAAAAUGCAUGUUUGAUUCGCCUGCUGUAAUCCUUCAACUCUCACUUAGAGAACCAUCUUUUGAUAUGUAAGUAAGACUUUUAUAAGAUAUUCUCUGUCAGUAAGUCAAUUCAAUGGACUCAUUUUCAAAUGAUCACCUAUAUUCUUAUAUUAGUGUUCUCACACAAAUGGCUAGUAAGAUCAAUCAUCCUCUCUAUCGAGCAUACAUAGAAUGUGCCAGUUUUUUUGAAAUAUUAAUCUCCGACUCAAUGCUCCUACAAUCAAGAAUGUUUAAGAUUAGAAUUUUAGGAUUUUAGAUCUCACAGGCAUGACUCAUUUAUGUCUCCAAAAAUUAUUGUCUUAAUCUUUGAGAUUCAUUAUAAUCUUAAACAAAGUAAGAUGCCGCUAAAAUGAUGAAUCAAAUACUUCAUUUCAUUAUCAAAUAAAAAAUAUCAUUAUAUAAGUUGGAAGUUUACAAAGAAAUAUCCCAUCACUUGCGAUUGGCUUAUAGAGCACUCUUCUUUGAAUCUCUCACUUGCACUAAAGCUAAUCGUCUUUGUAUUUCAAUUCCAUGCAAGCAAGAUGGCGAUCAAAUAGCUACUGUGAUAUGGCCUUAGUGAAUAGGUCUACUGUAUUAUUCUUAGUGUUUACUCAUUCAAGGACAACAUCUUGUCGCUCUACAAUUUCUCGAACGAGGUAGAAGCAUCUGAAGAUAUGCUUGAAUCUUUGAUGAGGCCUAGGUUCCUCAGCUUGAAUAACGGCCUCAGUGUUAUCAUAAUAGAGUGGCAUUGGUCUUUCAAUCUUAGGAAUGACUCCUAAUUCUAUGAUGAACUUCUUCAUCUAAACAGUUUUCUUAGCGGCUUUACUAGCAACUACAUACUCUACCUCAGUUAUUGAGUCAGCUACUGUCGACUGCUUAGAACUCUUCUAACGUACUGCUCUACCAUUUAGGAUAAAUACAUAUCCUGAAAUCAACUUACUAUCAUCGAGAUAAAAUUAAAACUAGAAUCUGUAUAUUCCUCUAGUUUCAACUCUGAUCCUCCUCCAUAUAUUAGAAAAAUAUCUUUAGUUCUCCUUAGGUACUUGAGAAUGUUUUUCACAGCUUUCCAAUGAUUCUUUUCUGGAUCAGUCUGAAAUCUGCUAGCUAUAUUUAAAGCAUAAGCUAUAUCAAGCAUGGUACAUAGUAUAACGUACAUUAUUGAUCCCACAGCCGAAACAUAAGGAAUUUCACUCAUUCUCUUCCUCUCCUUUGGUGUCUUAGGACAUAUUUUUUUGAAGAGACAUAUGCCAUGACUUACAAGCAGGUAACCUCUCUUACUUGCCUCCAUAUUGAACCUCUUUAAAAUGAGAUCUAUAUCGAGAUUGCGAUAAGCCUAGCAUUCUCUUAGAUCUAUCUCUAUAGAUCUUUAUAUCUAGUAUAUAGGAUGCUUCAUCCAAAUCUUUCAAGAAAAACUUAUUCGAUAGCCAAGUUUUGACUCAUUGUAUCAUUAAGAUAUCAUUUUCAAUGAGCAGUAUGUCAUCGACAUACAGAAUAAAAAAGACAAUAAUAUUUUUAUUUAUCUUUUUAUACACAUGGUUCAUCCUCAUUUUUGAUAAAGCCAAACUUUUGACUGUCAUAUCAAAUCAGAUGUUCCCACUCUUCGAAGCUUGCUUCAAUUCAUAGAUGGAUUUUUUUAACUUGCAUACUUAAUUUGCCCUCCUACUUGAGAUAAAUUUCUCUGACUGAGUCAUAUAGACUUCUUCCUCAAGAUUACUAUUGAGGAAAGCAGUUUUGAUAUCCAUCUGUCAGAUCUCAGUCGUAGUAUGCAGCUAUAGUAAGCAAAAUUCGGAUGAACUUGAGCAUAGUCACCGGUGAGAAGGUUUCAUCAUAGUCAAUUCUUUAUUUUUGUCUGAAAUCCUUCAUCACCAAUCUAGCUUUGAGGUUUUCAUUUGGCCAUCUGCUCCGAUCUUCUUCUUGAAGACCCACUUGCACCCUAUUGAGGUCACACCCUUAAGCACAUCAACCAAGGUCUACAUUUGGUUGGUGUACAUAGAUUCUAUUUUGAAUUUUAUGGCUUCCAGCCACUUGUUUGAAGCUCUACUCAUGACUGUUAGAUGUAUGUCCUAGAAGCUAAUAUGGCUGACACAUUAUAAUAAAUUUAAGACAUAAUUUUGUACUUAAUAUAUUGAUAUGAUCAAUAAAAGAACAAGUUUCUUUUCAUUCAAGUAUGAAGUGUCCUUGAAUCAUCUAUAAAAUUAGUUUUGAUAUAUAUUCUCAAGGUGUUGAGAAUUAGAGACAUGUAUUUNNNNNNNNNNNNNNNNNNNNNNNNNNNNNNNNNNNNNNNNNNNNNNNNNNNNNNNNNNNNNNNNNNNNNNNNNNNNNNNNNNNNNNNNNNNNNNNNNNNNNNNNNNNNNNNNNNNNNNNNNNAAUUCAUAAAUACUCUCGAUCAUAGGAUCAUCAUGAGGACGGUGAUAGAUUCGAAUAGACUGGUGCACAAAUCGCUUUCUUUGAGAUAGAUGAAAUCUAUGAUCUACUGUGUAGAGACACAGGACGACGAGUAUGGGUAGUUGUUAGAGAACAACUAGUACUGAGUAUGACCAUAUGAGAGAUCACUUGGAUUUCUAUUCGAUCGUUAAUGAUUAUCUCGAUGCUGUAGUUGUGUGACUAGUCCUUUGACUUGAGAUGGUACUGCUACUCGCAGUGAGGCUACUGAUGUUUGACUGACACAUAAAUAUGGAUCUCAAUGAGCCAUUGUAGUGGAUGUUGGUGACAGUUGGUCCACUAUAGGGGUAGGGUGUGCAUCAAGAUAAGAUUUAUCGAUCUUGAUAGAGAUGAAUAGUCCUAUAAAAUUUGAGAGGUUAAGUCCAAGAGUCUGUGACCACUGCAGUGUGAUUGAUGGAAAAGAGUUUUCAUGGAAGUCACAACUGGACUUGAGCUAAUCGAAUCUAUUAUAUGACUGAUGCUGAGGUUUGAUGAUUUAUCCAUGACCUGCCAUCUAGUCGGGACUCACGAUAAAGAGAUUGAAUCAUAUGUUAACUAUACCUAAAAGUUCAUUUCAGUUCUACUGGAUUCUCACUAUAUACUACUAGAUGUUACUGAUGGAUUGUGAGAGCUCAUUAGGAUUGUUCUAGAUCGACAAUCCUUACUGAGUUAGAAUGAAAUUGUUCUGAUCCAUUAAAAAGAGUUUCAAUGAUACGAUGAUAGAGAUCAAUGUAUGUCUCACUACCAGAUAGGAUUGAAUCUACGGGGUUACACAAUAAAAGAAUUAGAUCUGAAAUAAGUAAUUGAGCUUAUAAAGUGUUAAUUGGAUUUAGAGAAAUCCAUUGGGUUCAUGAUAACAUUGCUAGCACAUGCUUGGAUCUAAUUCCUCUUUUCAUUGGGAUUACUUAUUUGAUAAAAUAAUUUUAACUUAAUUAUCUGCUAAUAAUCUAUAUGAAUAAGAUUUAUGAGACUCCAAUUAUUGAGUGUCUAAGGUUAUAGAUCAUAUAAAUUAAGGGUACAAGUCUCUAAUUAAUUUUCUUGAUAGUUAUUCUUGGGCAUCACCUUGAUUUGAUCAAGUUGGGCGUGUCCAUUGAUUAGAAGACUUUUAGUUCUCCUAUGAGGCAUCUCUUAGGUGUGUUUUGGGGUAUCUAAUUAUGGAUGCAAGGGCUUCAAUUGUUGGCGUCUAAAGGUGUUGGGAAUAGUGUCCCAAAGCCAAUCGUCAGCUUGUUGACGGUUGUGCUCUUUCUUGUAUUAGUAUAUGAAUUAUAAAUUAAUAAAAAGUUAUUUUAAUAUUUUUCAUCACAAAUUAUUUCAUCUUCUAAUGAACUCCUGUGUUGUGGUGAAGUCUUAGGACUAUUUAGACUCGACAAAAGAGGAUUUAUCGUUUAGUCCUUAAAUCUGUUCGCGACCAAAUAAUACGUUGUUACCAAGGACAACAACGUUUAUCAAGCAUAGGUCGUUGUGUGCCAUAUGGGUUGGUUGUCCUCUUAACCAAGGAGUGUGUAGACACUGAUAUGGCAUACAGGUGAGAUGUAAGGGUACAUUUGCACUGAACGUGAUCGACUUCGGAGCUUUUUCUGCUGUCAAGAUUUGCUCCGACGGGAUAUGGGUAUAACUGUCCCUCUGACCUGAGACCACCACGGUGACUUGCAAGCAACUCACUGCACUUAGGCACUGAACUAUCUGAAUUUCUAAUUCAGUGACGGAAGGCUGCUGGGUGUAGUCAAGUACUUGACUUGUCGGUGCGUGUGUCAAGAUGGGAUUGACCACUCCAGUUCAGGAGCUGUGUACAGUCGUGUUUCAAUUUAGCAAAAC